Long non-coding RNA from Anthonomus grandis grandis, 7340 nucleotides. RefSeq lists it as uncharacterized. The record is from RefSeq and is a predicted model, not a curated record. NCBI's taxonomy places the organism in Eukaryota, Metazoa, Arthropoda, Insecta, Coleoptera, Curculionidae. The transcript is spliced from 5 exons.
CAGGCCGAGAAGCCAGUUUUUGAUCGGCUCAUCGACGCUGAUGAUGUGAAGGACUCCCCCCACCAUAGCUUGCAUCUGCAAGUAUGGGCGCUGUCUGCAACUCGCUUUGCAGAGCAGGUAUUCUGCUGAGAAACCAGUUCUUUAGAGUGCUGGACUGCUCCUUCGAGAUAUGUGUUUCGGGGAAACUUCUCGCAGUUAUGGUCAUUUUGUUCUCUCUUUCCACAAUCUCUGUAUGAGUUGGUUCCCAGUUUGGGCUCCUGGUAUCUUUUUUUUGAAUCUUUAGGACCCUGGUGUGCUACCCUCAGAACUGUUUGCGUUCCCUUCUGUUCUGUUGCUAAGGCAUUGGUCAAGGGGUUGGAUUUCGGUGGCUUUUUAAGCGCGGUUGCCGUUUAGCUUUGCUCCGUUGAGGUGCAAGUGCACGUCGCGGGGAUCAUUGCGCCAUGGGCGGUUUACCGUAUAUACUUUGAAUCAACUCAAACGGGUUUUAUACCAUCGGUUUCAAUUAUAAUCAUCGUUAAUCGGUGCUCUAUUCCUGGACUUUUUUCUAUCCUGCACACGGAGACGCGCCCGACAGGUUAAUACUGCAAAAUCAAUACUGCGGUUUUGGGUGUAAACACCCUUACAUGAAUUAGCUAAAAUCUUCCUAGAGCUACUGAUAAUUUCCAAAAGUAAAGCGUAUAUUGUAUAGGUCUAGGAAGCACAGGAACCAGUUUAUCCCAAUAAAGAUGCAUACCUUUCCAUUUCAGGGUUGUAUGGAAUUUGUUAUGGGUUUUACUAGUUUUCACUUUAAUAGCCUAUGGAGCUUCUUCUAGGAUCUGAUGAGGUAUGGAUAAAUAUUUGUCAGGAAGAGCAGUUGAAAAUGUUUGUUAUAUCUAGAAUGAGAUAGUGGAUGUACCGUGGAGUGUGUGCUUCGGAAAUCAAAUUGACCGAGAAGGAUAGUGUUGGCUUCUAGGUAUUUUAGGAUAUGUCUUUCUAUGAAUUUUCUUUUAGCUAGAGACGGAUAAGCCUAUAUCUCUUCGGGUCCAUGUCAAUACACGUUGAUGAUAUUGGCCUACUUAAAUAAAUUGAAAUGGCAAAUGGCCGUGCAGGAAGAUUGCUUUAGAAAUAAGCAUUCCUCUUGGUGCUUUUUGUUGACUGAGUCAUUUCUAUAUAUACUGAGACGCGGUUUCUUUUUUUCUGGUCACUUCUAAGACGUGAAGGCGUUCGGGGAGAAAGUGUAGAGGAAAUGUCAGUAAAGACCUGUUGCUAGGGAUCGUAAAUGGAAGUUUUUUCUUUUUCUUUAGUAAAUCAAGCCUAAAAAGUUGCACAUGAAUGGUAACCUCGAUUAUUUUAAGUUGCACCUGCCACAUCUUAUUUGUAUGCUCAUCCAGCAUGGUCUAGAUCCCGAAGUGACCCCUAUAGUGAGUAAGUUCUUCAUAAGAAGAUCGUGUAAUCCUGGAAGUAUUCCUCAUCAACAAGGAGAAAUUCGAGUGGUCUCUUCGCACCUUAUAGAGCAUCAGAGAUAUCACCUUAACUUAACCACAGAUGAGUCGAGAGAAUUAGUAAUGUCAGGAGAUGAAGCGAAUAAUUUCUUGUAACUACGCGAUGCAGUACUAAAUUCAACUGGAGGAAGAAAAAUGUUGAGGAUUCCGGGGCGUUGAGUAAACUCUGCCAAAAAAACUAUUUAAUUUAGUCAAUUAUCCUGUACAUCAUGAUUACAAGUACAAAUUCCUUAUUAUUAGACGCCAUAUACAUAAACUUUAUAAAGUUCUCAUGACAACAACGGGUUAUGUUUAUCCUCGCAAGACGUGCAGUAAAGAAAGCAUCGACUUUCGAAAGUCAAUAAAAUCAAUUUCCCAGGGGAAAAACAAUCCCUCGUUCGAUGGCAAUAAGUCGGAAUGGGUCGCGUGACCCGGCCGCAUCAUCGAUCAUAUAAUUUAAUUGGCCGCGGUAGAACCGACAAAAGAGCAUCGGCACGGUCUCAAAGAGGUUACUUCGCACCCGUGUAUCGGGUACUCCUGCGAGCAUUGCAUGCCGACUUAAGAUAUUUAUUGUUAUUGAAUAAAUUUAUAUUGGAAAUACUACGGGGUUCCCUGUUAAGAUGACCUCAGGCUUCGUAGCAUCUUAUUGUCUAUAGUAAUUUUCAUUUCAUGAUUUUCCAGAGAUACUGUAUUGUAAUAUAUGGGGAUUUAAGGCAGUAGAAAAUGAAACAUUCUUCUUUAAUAACAGAUAAAAAGUAUUUAUUUUUCAACAUGAAAAUAGUACAUAGUACGGUUGCAUCCUUCAAAAUAUGUUAAUACAUUCCACCUCGUACAAACCUAGACAUGAUAAUAUAAUAACAAUCUCACUAACCUACUUAUACCAAUUACUUAUUGUAAAUACAUUAUAGUGUACAGUGUGAUUUUAAUACAUAAAUGAUAACUAUAGAUACUACAGAAGCCCUAAAAGAAUAACAAGAUUACAAGACGAGGAAAAUAACUUUUAGUUUAAUAUGGACACAGCAUUUUUUCUUUUUUCCACUGCUAUUAAUAUUGAAUAAAGAAUUAAGCAAUUUUAUACAAAUAUUUGAAUGCAGUUUACUCUAAUACAUAAACAAAGGCUCAGAACUUCCUUUACUAACGUCAAUAAUAAAGCAAACAAUGCGGCCAUACUCCACGACGUCCUACGUGCAAUUAAAGCAGCACAAAUCCCACUUCUGGAUUCGCCCUGACAGCGUAUAUCAAUUAACGGCGUCCUGUAGUCGUUAAGGAAUACUUAACGACGCUUGACCGAUGUUGGCCAAACAAUGGCCCUUUGCGACAUACGUAAUCCAAUAGGGCAAUGACGGAGACAAUGGAUGGACAAUGGUCCGGCACAACGGGAAAGCAUUGUGCGUGCCUUUAGGAAUAAUAAUAUGAGAUGUGCUGUGUGUUCUAGAUAUUUUAAAAGUGAUUGAUUUUAGUCGAGCAUGCGACGGAAAUUUUAUGCAAAUUAAAUGUGAUUUAAUUACACGUAUAUGCAUUAGAUAUGUACAGAAUAUAACAUUUUUCUGUCGCGUCAUUUAUAAGAAAAUACUUUUAGUAUUAAUAAUGGUAACAAUAAUAGUAAAGGAUAGGUAUCACUCCAAAAUGCAAUGUAUAGGCCAUGUAUAGCAAACGUUUAAAAUGAUAUAUGACAAACGCUGAACGAAGACAACAAAAUAAUAAAGUGACGAUAGAAAUUUUUACAAAACCUUCACACAGCACAACAAUUAGAAAAAUAAUAAGUAAAAUCUGUAUUUUUGUGACGGAUUUAUAAUGAGUUACUUAUUUUGUUGGAUAUUACGUCCCUUGUAUUAAAAAUCAAUUUAGAAAAUUGAUUUUGAAAUUUUUGGUAAUUGGACGAUUGAUUAAUAGUCUGUCAAACUAUUGUUCAAAAACGGUAUUAUUUGUGCUCUUAUGACGUUUUUAGUAGCUAUGUCUGCGGCCUGUAUCAUAUUUUCUGAUUCCUGCCAAAGUUUCUUUGAUUUUAUUGUUUAUAACAUUGAGUAACUUUUCUUUCUGCAGCAUGACUGAUACGACUGUUAGAUUUAAGAAACGUGGCGCGAAUUUAAUGUUGCACUCAACCAAAAAACACUGAGAGUCGCGUUUAUUAUAAGAUCUUAGGGAAUUUAACUGUAGUUAUUUAAGUUUAGUCAAUAUAUCACCGAGUGUCUUAAAUUUGUUGUUACCUACACGAAACACGUGUAACCUAUUCUUAUUAUAAAUAUAAGUUGGACAUUCAUGUCAUUAUGUUAAUUGGCAAAGACAUUUGACACCAAUGGCUCACCACAUUCUGUUUAUAUCACCCACGAACUUAAUAAAUAUACCUGGACUGCUAAUGCAUAUGGCCAAAAUACCCAAAAAGACCACUGCCUGGUGGCCUCCAUGUUUAUAGUGGUUGUGUCCUUUUAUUGUUGGUCACUCUGAACAUUUUUAGUGUUGCCAACAAAAAAUUUACUAAAUAAGGUAAUGAAGUUGACGACGCUGACGUUUGACGUGUGAGUACAGUAGAUUGCCUAGUUUUUGGCGAUUUGUAAAUGACGUUUGGGUAUAUCGUCUGGAACAGGCGAUGUAUCUUCCUCCUUAAUUCAUACGUGAAUAAUGAAUGUAUCACCAUCUUUAUUUAAAAGUAUUUGGUUCACUGUUUCCCAAAACCAAAUUAUUAUGAAUUGUCUGUCCGUGUUGUUGAUGAUAGAAUAAUAUAUAGCCUCUUUAGUCCACACGUCCAGCCCGCUGUACAUUUUUCAAAAUACAUUAGUACGGGCUCUCGACGACUUAACGUGAUUUGGAGCCCGCCAUGCACGUGCAGCGGACUGGACGUGCAUACGCCAAAAAAUAUUUUGUUGAAAAUAUUUGGCAACGUUGGAUUUUUUUCAGUUUUGUUUUGACGGAACAGGUGUUGUGUUGUAAAUCAUGGCGUCGUAUCAGAAACUAGGUAACAUUUGCAUUAUUUUCGAUUGUUUUGAUAAAAUACUGAUUAAAAUCAAAUAAAUUGACUGCUAUUUAGUAAAUCAACAAAUAUACGUACAGAAAAUGUAACGUCGCUCUACAGAGUGUUCGGCUUUUGAUUUUGUGCAGUAUCUUGGACGUCGGGACUGUAUUUGAUUCAAGUUUUUACUUUUUACCCAAAAAUUUUAAAUUUUAUUGUUGUUAUUAUUUCGUCUUUUUUUUAAGGUGGUAUGCAACCACUGACGGAUAAAGAUCUUGAAGAGAUUAUAAAUGACAGUGACUUUUACUUGCGCGAUGAUGAUGACGAAAUCACCGCCAAAAACAGUGAAUGAAUUGAGGCAAAUGAUAAUGAAGACGACGAGCCGGCGUCGGCAGACGCAGAUUCGGUUUCUGAUACCAUUGAAGAGAAGUCUGAUGACGAUAAUGUUUCCUUAUCCAGAAUAAGAAAGUACUAGAGAACUGGAGAACCUGCCAGGAGCAAACAAAAAAUAAAACCGCAGAAGUAAAAUGGAAAAGAAAUGUUUUUGAAAGUCGAGAAGAUGUCUACCUUGAUCCGGAAUGGCAGUUACAAGUAUUGAAUAACCCGAUUUGUAUAAAAAAAUCCUAUGCAAAUCAUGCUUCGAUAUGAACACUACUGAAAUAAGAACACUUAUUCUAUUGAGCUGUCUGAUGCCUUACAUAUACAAAGACUGUUCUCCAAAGAAGGUUGCGAUCUAUUAACUAGUGAAUUAAGUUUCCAAUUUAGAAGUAAAAGUUGAGAAAACCAAGUGCAAAAUUAAGGAAUGGUAGUAGUUUGGAGCAAUAAUUGAUGAAAUGAAACAUAAGAAGUGCCUGGAGGACGCAAACAAAAAAUUCCGCGAAAAAAAUCAACUCGAUACACGGAAGCGAACGUGGGGGUAUUGGAUAUUGUGUGCUCACAUGCUGAGCAGUUAAAUAAGAAGCACUACUGUUCAGUAGCAAUGCUGACACUCGAAGAUUUGGAAGAUUUUCGGAAGCUUUUGUAUCUAAAUAGUACCAAAGAAUCGCAGGAUGCAUUUUUGCUUAAGUAUAUGAAGGUUAGUGCACCAAAGCGGCACCGUGUUGAUCCUGAUACCUUACGAUGUCCCAAAAAUAUAUCCGUUAGGUACGAAAUCAGAAAAACGAGUAGUAAUGAACCACUGCAGAUUUGUGCAAAAUCGUUUCAGUCGAUUACAGGUGUAUCGAGGGACCGGCUUGCACGAAUAGCUCGUCUGUUUUUGGAAACUCGCCAAAUACCCAAAGAACAAAGAGAGGGUAACACAACCAAAGAAGAUGAUAGGAAGGUGACUGCAGGUGUGAUAAAUCAUAUAAAAAAAUAUAAGUGUAGGGAUAGUAAUUAUAGUCGCAAGAAAUGCACCCGAGCUUACCUACCACCUGAGUUAAAUUUGUCCAAAAUAUACGAACGUUUCUGUAAGGAGCAAUAUACUAAAAAAAAAAAUAUGCUCCAUGAGUAAAUUUAAAAAAGUAUUCAAUUUAAUCUUGGAUUUGACUCUCCUCACAGUGACACUUAGUCAACUUGCUAGGAACUAUUGAUUAAAGUGAACGUGGAAAAAGAUUUGGAAAAGAGAAAUGAUAUUAGAACCAGGUUAAGAAUCCACAAACUGCGUGCAAAAAGAUAUUUUGAGUUAAUGAAACAUAAAAAUGAAAAUGAACUUGACAUCACUUUUGAUAUGCAGCAAAACCAACCCAUACCAAAACUAUCCAUAGGAGAGGUUUUUUACUUAAGGCAAGUGUGGCUUUAUAAUCUCUGCGUUAUGACUAAUAACACUCCAAUAGAUAAAAAUAAAGUAUCGCUGUACACAUGGCUAAAGACACAAGCUGGAAAAGGAGCUAAUGAAGUAGCUUCUGCGUUAUUAAAUUAUCUGCAAAUUUUGGAACAAAAAAUAAUUAAAAAGGAAAGAGAAUGGGAGCCUAAGGCACUUCGUCUUUUGUCUGAUUCUUGUGCGGCGCAAAAUAAGAACUCCAUACUGAUAGCAGCUUUAUAUAGAUUUCUUGAAAAAUCGAAAGUUUUUUUCAAAAUACAGCAUAUUUAUCCCAUUCGCGGUCACAGCUACAUGCCCCCAGAUAAAGUUUUUGGGAGAAUAGAAAGAGAAUUUCGUAAGCUCGAAAGCAUAGAAACACCUGCUCAAUAUGGGUCUCUACAUGGACAUGUAAAGAAGUGGUGGGAGCAUUGGAAAACUUAUGAUUAUAAAUCUGAGUCUAAAAAGCUAAUAAAACCCAAACUUGCAUUUAAUAUGACACAAUGUAGAAUAAUAGAAUACCGCAAAGAAGGAGGAAAGGUAAAUGUGAACGUUAAAAUCACAUAUACCGGAUGUAUUACAGAAGUAGAAAUAUUUAAAAAAGGGGUAAAGACCUUAAAGUUAUUAGACAAAGCAUUGGAGAUUCUAAAGACAAAUCAUGUCAAAGAGGUAAAAAUAGGAGAUAUACGUAAAAUAAUAAAGUACGUUAAAAAUGCUGAAGACGAUUUUUACAAGGAGCUUCUCGGGACAACUAAUUAAAACCUUACCAAGGAUGACCACUUGCUAGAGUCGAGAAAACGGUCCUCAAUUAUUUGGGUGUCAAUAUGUUAACUCAAAAAAUAUAUACUUUAACUUUAGAUAAUUUUUAUUCGCUUGUAUUGUUGGCCUUUGUUCAUGUUUUGGCUUUACUUAAAAAAGAAAUAUUUGGACUUUCAUCUUUCACUUUCUUAAUGACCUGAUAUUUUCAAUCGCUUAAAUAUAAAUAAUCUCUGUAGAUAGAUUUUUAGUUAUUUCCUUCAAUGUCUCACAAAAACAAAUUAAACAUGACAGAAUAUAAAUAAAUAGGCUCAGCAUCCGCGAGUAGGCGUAAUAAACACGCUCUUAAUAUCCCAAAAAAAAAGAAAUACCAACCGUAUUUUUAAUACCGUCCUGCAGU